This 787-nucleotide long non-coding RNA is filed under the name Homo sapiens (human). Its description in RNAcentral is "HSALNT0361768". The record is from RNAcentral. Lineage: Eukaryota; Metazoa; Chordata; Mammalia; Primates; Hominidae.
GGCAACCCGCUCGGUCCUCUUACACACUGUGGUAGCUUUGUUCUUUUGCUCUUUGCAAUAAAUCUUGCUACUGCUCACUCUUUGGGUCCACACUGCCUUUAUGAGCUGUAACACUCACCGGGAAGGUCUGCAGCUUCACUCCGGAAGCCAGCGAGACCAGGAGCCCACCGGAAGGAACAAACAACUCCAGACGCCCCGCCUUGAGAGCUGUAACACUCACCCUGAAGGUCUGCGGCUUCACUCCUGAGCCAGCGAGACCACGAACCCACCAGAAGGAAGAAACUGAACACAUCUGAACAUCAGAAGGAACAAACUCCGGACACGCCGCCUUUAAGAACGGUAACACUCACCGCGAGGGUCCGAGGCUUCAUUCUUGAAGUCAGUGAGACCACGAACCCACCAAUUCCGGACACUCUUCUAUUUCUUGCUGUCACAAAUUUCAACUUAGUUACUUUGAAACCCAGUAUUUCCUUAGUAUCUCCUGUUAAAAUACAGCCUAUCUUUUUUCUUUCCAUUUUCACCCUUCUUGGGAGCCUGUCUCCUCUUAACAUUUUCUGAAUAUUUGCAGUAUCAAUUAUUCAUCAUUAGGAAAAAAUUACCAUUUGAAAUGAGUUGAAGUAUGUGGGUUGCAGUGUUGACAAUUUGGAAAUAGCAAGCAUAGACAACUUUUGGCUCUCACAUGGAAUAUAGACAGAGACUAUGAGGAAAGCAUGCUUGCUUCUUAACCACUUCAACAGCACGUAACACACAUCACUUUUGUCUAUAUUUCUUGGCAAAAACUUGAUGC